GACGAACGCUUGCGGCGUGCUUAACACAUGCAAGUCGAACGGAAAGGCCCUGCUUUUGUGGGGUGCUCGAGUGGCGAACGGGUGAGUAACACGUGAGUAACCUGCCCUUGACUUUGGGAUAACUUCAGGAAACUGGGGCUAAUACCGGAUAGGAGCUCCUGCCGCAUGGUGGGGGUUGGAAAGUUUCGGCGGUUGGGGAUGGACUCGCGGCUUAUCAGCUUGUUGGUGGGGUAGUGGCUUACCAAGGCUUUGACGGGUAGCCGGCCUGAGAGGGUGACCGGCCACAUUGGGACUGAGAUACGGCCCAGACUCCUACGGGAGGCAGCAGUGGGGAAUAUUGCACAAUGGGCGGAAGCCUGAUGCAGCAACGCCGCGUGCGGGAUGACGGCCUUCGGGUUGUAAACCGCUUUCGCCUGUGACGAAGCGUGAGUGACGGUAAUGGGUAAAGAAGCACCGGCUAACUACGUGCCAGCAGCCGCGGUGAUACGUAGGGUGCGAGCGUUGUCCGGAUUUAUUGGGCGUAAAGGGCUCGUAGGUGGUUGAUCGCGUCGGAAGUGUAAUCUUGGGGCUUAACCCUGAGCGUGCUUUCGAUACGGGUUGACUUGAGGAAGGUAGGGGAGAAUGGAAUUCCUGGUGGAGCGGUGGAAUGCGCAGAUAUCAGGAGGAACACCAGUGGCGAAGGCGGUUCUCUGGGCCUUUCCUGACGCUGAGGAGCGAAAGCGUGGGGAGCGAACAGGCUUAGAUACCCUGGUAGUCCACGCUGUAAACGGUGGGUACUAGGUGUGGGGUCCAUUCCACGGGUUCCGUGCCGUAGCUAACGCUUUAAGUACCCCGCCUGGGGAGUACGGCCGCAAGGCUAAAACUCAAAGGAAUUGACGGGGCCCCGCACAAGCGGCGGAGCAUGCGGAUUAAUUCGAUGCAACGCGUAGAACCUUACCUGGGUUUGACAUGGAUCGGGAGUGCUCAGAGAUGGGUGUGCCUCUUUUGGGGUCGGUUCACAGGUGGUGCAUGCCUGUCGUCAGCUCGUGUCGUGAGAUGUUGGGUUAAGUCCCGCAACGAGCGCAACCCUUGUUCACUGUUGCCAGCACGUUAUGGUGGGGACUCAGUGGAGACCGCCGGGGUCAACUCGGAGGAAGGUGGGGAUGACGUCAAGUCCUCAUGCCCCUUAUGUCCAGGGCUUCACGCAUGCUACAAUGGCUGGUACAGAGAGUGGCGAGCCUGUGAGGGUGAGCGAAUCUCGGAAAGCCGGUCUCAGUUCGGAUUGGGGUCUGCAACUCGACCUCAUGAAGUCGGAGUCGCUAGUAAUCGCAGAUCAGCAACGCUGCGGUGAAUACGUUCCCGGG
This 1343-nucleotide ribosomal RNA is filed under the name uncultured bacterium. RNAcentral describes it as "16S ribosomal RNA". It matches the Rfam family "Bacterial small subunit ribosomal RNA", at positions 28 to 1378 of the family's 1533-position model. The record is from RNAcentral.